UUCCGGUUGAUCCUGCCGGAGGUCACUGCUAUUGGGAUUCGAUUAAGCCAUGCGAGUCGAGAGGGUUCGGCCCUCGGCUGACUGCUCAGUAACACGUGGAUAAUCUGCCCUUGGGUGGAGAAUAAUCUCGGGAAACUGAGAAUAAUACUCCAUAGAUCUAGGAGGCUGGAAUGCAUCUAGGUUGAAAGCUUCGGCGCCUAAGGAUGAGUCUGCGGGCUAUUAGAUUGUAGUCAGGGUAAUGACCUGACUAGUCUACGAUGGCUACGGGUUGUGAGAGCAAUCGCCCGGAGAUGAUAUCUGAGACACGAUAUCAGGUCCUACGGGAUGCAGCAGGCGCGAAAACUUCACACUGUGCGAAAGCACGAUGAGGGAAUCCCAAGUGCCAGCUCGUAAGAGUUGGCUGUUUUUUUGUCUAAAAAACAGAGAGAGUAAGAGCUGGGUAAGACGGGUGCCAGCCGCCGCGGUAAUACCUGCAGCUCGAGUGGUGACCGCUAUUAUUAGGCCUAAAACGUUCGCAGCCGGUUUCGUAAAUGCUUGGGUAAAUCGUUUGGCUUAACCAAACGAAUUCCGGGUAGACUACGAGACUUGAGAUCGGGAGAGGCUAGAGGUACUCCUGGGGUAGAGGUGAAAUUCUGUAAUCCUGGGGGGACCACCAGUGGCGAAGGCGUCUAGCUAGAACGAGUCUGACGGUGAGGAACGAAGCCCUGGGGCGCAAACGGGAUUAGAUACCCCGGUAGUCCAGGGUGUAAACGCUGCUCGCUUGAUGUUAGAUAGGCUCCGAGCCUAACUAGUGUCGGAAAGAAGUUGUUAAGCGAGCUGCCUGGGGAGUACGGUCGCAAGGCUGAAACUUAAAGGAAUUGGCGGGGGAGCACAGCAACGGGAGGAGCGUGCGGUUUAAUUGGAAUCAACGCCGGA
This 915-nucleotide ribosomal RNA is filed under the name uncultured archaeon. RNAcentral's name for it is "bacterial SSU rRNA". It matches the Rfam family "Archaeal small subunit ribosomal RNA", at positions 1 to 922 of the family's 1478-position model. The record is from RNAcentral.